UACGGAGGGUGCAAGCGUUAUCCGGAUUCACUGGGUUUAAAGGGUGCGUAGGCGGACUUGUAAGUCCGUGGUGAAAUCUCCAGGCUUAACCUGGAAACUGCCAUGGAUACUAUAAGUCUUGAAUGUUGUGGAGGUUAGCGGAAUAUGUCAUGUAGCGGUGAAAUGCAUAGAUAUGACAUAGAACACCAAUUGCGAAGGCAGCUGACUACACAAAUAUUGACGCUGAGGCACGAAAGCGUGGGGAUCAAACAGG
This 253-nucleotide ribosomal RNA is filed under the name uncultured bacterium. Its description in RNAcentral is "partial 16S ribosomal RNA". It matches the Rfam family "Bacterial small subunit ribosomal RNA", at positions 524 to 776 of the family's 1533-position model. The record is from RNAcentral.